AAGGGCACCACAAGAACGCGUGGAGCAUGUGGCUUAAUUUGACUCAACGCGGGAAAUCUUACCGGGUCCGGACACACUGAGGAUUGACAGGUAAUAUCAUAUAUACAUACGUUCGCGCGUGUGUGUAUGUGUAUAAAUAUGCUAGUCCUUUCAUGAUUAUGUGAUAGGUGGUGCAUGGCCGUUCUUAGUUCGUGGAGUGAUCUGUCUGCUUAAUUGCGUUUCACUAUUGGGUCUAUUUAUACGUAUACGUAUAUCGCUUUAAAUAUUUUGACCCUAUCUCUCUCACGAGAGAUACGCGUGUCUUAUAUAUUUUUUAUAUAGCAUACACUAUACAUUAGACCCUGAAAGCAACGAACGUGACCGCAACCUCUUGUUGCUUUCUCCCACACAUAUAUAUAUUAUUAUAUACGCGCUUCGGCACGUGUGUAGUGUAUGUAUAUUAAGAAAGCCUCGUAUAUAUAAAUCUCUACCAUCUCUCACGAGAUAUCAGAGACGCGUAUAUAAAACUAGAGGGACCGCUGUUAUCUUCUUAAACCAGAGGAAGGUUGCGGCAAUAACAGGUCUGUGAUGCCCUUAGAUGUUCCGGGCUGCACACGUGCUACAAUGAUUAUUGCAGUGAGCAUCUCAUUUUUUUACUCACAUCGCAUGCGUGAGUAAUUUUCUCAUAUAUUCUCGGAUAUAUCGAGUCUUUCUCUCUACGCGCGAUUAAGCCUACUUCGAAAGUAAGCGGGUAAUCAAUUAGAAGUAAUGAUUUCCUAUUUUUCCUGCACAACUAUAUAUGGCGUAUAUACCCGAUAUAGCCUUGUUGCUAUAUUCUGUGUGUAUGUAUGACUUUUUUCCAUAUGUGCAAUUGUCAAUUCAUGGUGGGGACAGACCAUUGUUUCAAUUGUUGGUCUCGGUCUUAACUAGGAAUGCCUUGUACGGGUCUUUGGUUCAACAAACCACCCGGAAUACGUCCCUGCCCUUUGUACACACCGCCCGUCGCUCUUACCGAUGGACUUCUCUGUGAGUUUGAGGGACUGCCUGUGAAACUCGCGUAUCAUAUUAGGAAACUUAAAAAAACAGUGUGGUCUAAAGGAAAGAGAAGUCGAACAAGGC
RNAcentral lists this ribosomal RNA (1098 nucleotides) under Bolivina skagerrakensis. Its description in RNAcentral is "bacterial SSU rRNA". It matches the Rfam family "Eukaryotic small subunit ribosomal RNA", at positions 1160 to 1800 of the family's 1831-position model. The record is from RNAcentral. Lineage: Eukaryota; Foraminifera; Rotaliida; Bolivinitidae.